AGUGCGGCGGGAAGCGGGCCCAGAAGGAGGCGCGAGAGGCCCGCGGCGCCGGCCUGAUGCCUGCAGCGCCCCAUGGCGGCGGGAGGCGGGCUGGCCGGCGCCGCGCGCAUGUGGUCCGGUCCAGGUGGGUCGGCGGCGCGGGGCAGGCGCUGGCCUCUCCAUUCACAGGUGGUGCUGGCGUUGCGAAGGGACGCACUCCAGGACGCACGGCGGGGAGGAGUGGCGUCAGGGAUCCGCGGAUGAGUCAAGUGGCAGGUUCUGCACGUCCCGGAGAGCGGGGGCGGCCGGGGCGCAGGCACUGGCGAGGGGGCGCAGCCCGGGGGGCUCCCGGGGAGAGACCCUGUCUCAAAUAAUAAUAAUAAUAAUAAUAAUAGCUUUAUUGAGAUAGAACUCGUGUUCCACAAAGUUCACCCUUUUCUUUUUUCUUUUUUUUUUUGGCACGGAGUCUCGCUCUGUCGCCCAGGCUGGAAUGCAGUGGCGCGACCUCGGCUUAUUGCAACCUCCACCUCCCAGGUUCAAGCGAUUCUCCUGCCUCAGUCUCCCGAGUAGCUGGGAUUACAGGCGCCCGCCACCAUGUCUGGCUAAUUUUUUUGUGUUUUUAGUAGAGACGGGGUUUCACCAUGUUGGCCAGGCUGGUCUCGAACUCCUGACCUCAGGUGGUCCGCCCGCCUUGGCCUCCCAAAGUGCUGGAAUUACUGCGCCCGCCCCGCCCCCACGCCUUUUUUUUUUUUUUUUUAAUGGAAACACUGAUGGGAACAAAACUCAAAAGACACAAAAGAUCAUACAGUUGCCAGGUGUGAUGCUCAUGCCUGUAAUCUCAGCACUUUGGGAGACCAAGGCAGGAGGAUCGGUUGAGUUCGAGACCAGCCUGAGCAACAUAGCAAGACCCCCAUCUCUACAAAAAAAUAAAAAUUAGCUGGGCAUGGUGGCAUGAACCUCUAAUCCCAGCCCUUUGGGAGGCCAAAGUGGGAGUCUGAGACCAGCCUGGGCAACAUAGUGAGACCCUAUCUCUACAAACAAAAAUCAAGAAUAAAUUAGCCAGGCAUGGUGGUGCAUGCCUACGGUCCCAGCUACUGAGGAGGCUGAGGUAGGAGGAUCUCUUCAGCUUGGGAGGUCAAGGCUGCAGUAAGCUAUGAUGGUGCCACUACGCUGCAGCCGGCCGACAGAGCGAGACCCUGUCUAAAAAAAAAUAAAAAUAAAAGGUGGGGGAAUCAUCCAGUCAAAGGGUCGAAGGUCUCCCCUGACCCCUGAGCAGCUGGUCCCCUCCCCUGGAGUCAGCCUGUGUUCUGAUUUGUGCCUGUGUUCCCGGCUUUUCCGUGUGCGUUCAGGCAGCCACCCGUGUGCCUCCCUCUGCCUUGUCACCCUGCAGGUAGCGCACGGCUCCUCUUUUCUGCACCUGGCUUUUGCCACUUAACCACAUCUUGGAGAUCUGUUCCCAGCAGGGCACUGACUCGAACGCUGCCCCGCCACCGAGGGAGUCCUGAGCACCGCCUGCCCGGUGUGUCCCAUCUCCUCAUCCAGGGACCGCAAGGCAGAGCUGGUCUCCCUGUGCCCCUGAAGUUGGGUGUGGCCAUUUGACUGUGGCCUCAGUGAGGCUCAUGGCCCCAGGCUGCAGCCUGAGAACUGCUGUGUGACCCGCCACGGUCUCUUUCCACUCCUGUGGGCACCAGCUGGGUCCCCGCAGGACCCCAAGGGCUCCAGGGCCCUGCACCCUGCGCUGUGUGGGCAGCGAGUCCGGAAGGAGACGUCCGUGGUGCCCAUGGGAGGAGAGGCCGGUCAGGCGCGGAUCCCUGCCGGACGCCAGGCGGGGGCUGUGCGGCUUCAUCCCUCUACAGUUUCUCAAUCUGUCCCUCAGGGUAACUCUCUAAGGGGAGGGGAGAUCCGAUGGGGUAAUGCUUCCUCCUCCUGUCACCUGAAUGGGAGCACCCUGCACAGAGCUUCCUCUGCCCCGCCACCUGCCUCUCCUCAUCCUCUGACCAGCAUCACCGCCCCUGCAUGCGGGGCCUGUGCCUUCGGCAAAUGCCCUCACCCGGGCCCAGGCCAGAACCUCAGGGUCGACCUUGAGAACAACUACCUCUUUGCCUUCCUCCUCCCUCUCCCCGCCUCUUUUUGAAAACAGCUUUUUUGAGUUAUGAUUGACGUCUGAUAAACUGCAGGUGUGUAAAGGGUGUAAAGGGUGCACACUGAUGCGUGUUGACAUUCACACGUACCUGUGGCCCCAUCCCCCAUCCCUUUCAACCCUGUAACGAACAUUCCCAAACCACCCCUGACUUGUCCCCAGGCCGCCAGGGCGCCACUUUCUGUCCCUGGAGAGGCGCUGUUUGCUCUUCUGGAGUCUGUGUGAAUGAAAGCACACAGUGCACGCUCCCUGGCCAGCUGCUCGGCGUCAUUAUUCUUUUUUUUUUUUUGAGAUGGAAUCUCGUUCUGUCACCCAGGCUGGAGUGCAGUGGCGCGAUCUCCGUUCACUGCAACCUCUGCCUCCUGGGUUCACGCCAUUCUCCUGCCUCAGCCUCCCGAGUAGCUGGGACUACAGGCGCUGGCCACCACGCCCGGCUAAUUUUUUUUUUUUUUUGUAUUUUUAGUAGAGGCGGGAUUUCACCGUGUUAGCCACAACGGUCUUGAUCUCCUGACCUCGUGAUCCUCCCGCCUCGGCUUCCCAAAGUGCUGGGAUUACAGGCGUGAGCCACCGCGCCCGGCCUGGCAUCAUUAUUCUGAGACUUACCCCAGCGUUGCAGGCAUCGGUGGCUUCUGUCAGCUGCUGAGUAGCACCCGCCAGAUGGAUUCCAGAUUCCAAGGAUGGCUUCUCCACUGAUGGCCCGGGCAGGACCACAGGCGUUCCGUCAUCCUGGGGGGGUGUGCAGGGUCUGCCCUGUGCUCUUCAUCGGCGUCUCCCUGAUGAGUAAUGAUGAGCGUUUUCUCAUCUUUUUUUGUCAUCCGUGUAUCUGCAUUAUUGGUGUCUGUUCAAAUUGUUUGCUCACUUUUUGAAAAUAUUUUUUAUGGCCAGGCGCGAUGGCUCACGCCUGUAAUCCCAGCACUUUGGGAAGCCGAGGCGGGUGGAUCACCUGAGGUCAGGAGUUCAAGACCAGCCUGCCCAACAUGGUGGAACCCGGUCUCUACAAAAAUACAAAAAUUAGCCGGGCAUGGUAGCAGACACCUGUAAUCCAGCUACUUGGGAGGCUGAGGCAGGAGAAUCACUUGAACGUGGGAGGCGGAGGUUGCAGUGAACCAAGAUCAUGCCAUUGCCCUCCAGCCUGGGCGACAAGAGUGAGACUCUGUCUCAAAAAAAAAAAAAUUAUUAGAAAUUUAAUUUUUAGGCCGGGUGCCGUGGCUUUUAAUCCCAGCACUUUGGGAGGCUGAGGCAGGCGGAUCACCUGAGAUCAGGAGUUUGAGACCAGCUUGGCCAACAUAGUAAACCCCAUGUCUACUAAAAAUACAAAAAUUAGCCAGGCGUGGUGGCGGGUGCCUUUAGUCCCAGCUACUUGGGAGGCUGAGGCAGGAGAAUCACUUGAACCCAGGAGGUGGAGGUGGCAGUGAGCCAAGAUCGUACCACUGCACUCCAGUCUGGCCAACAGAGCGAGAUUCCAUCUCAAAAAAAACAAAAAAACAAAAAGAUAUAAUCAAAUGUUCCUCCCCUGCUCAGAAUUCUCCAAAGACUCUGCUUAUCACCCGAACAGUAAAAUGAACACCUGUGGUUGUUUCCCACAGCAGCUCUUAACAAAGCACCACAGACUCGGUGGCUUAAAGCCACAGAAAUGUCCUCUCUUGCAGUUCUGGAGCCCAGAAGUCUGAAGUCAAAGUGUGGGCAGGGCUGACUCCCUCGGAGGGCUCUAGGGGAGGACGCUGCCUACCUCGACCAGCUCCUGGGGACUCCAGGGGUCCUCGGCUCGUGGCCACAUCCCUCCAGCCUCUGCCUCUGACUCCAUGUGGCCGUCUUCUCUCUGUGUCUCUGUGCCUCGUGAGGACAUCUGUUAAGGGAUUUAGGGCCCACCCAGAUCAAGGAUGAUCUCAUCUCAAGAUCUUUACCUUCAUUAGGCCUGUGCGGUGGCUCACGCCUGUCAUCCCAGCACUUGGGGAGGUUGAGGCGGGCGGAUUGCUUGAGGUCAGGAGUUCGAGACCAGCCUGGCCAACAUGGCGAAACCUUGCCUUUACUAAAAAUAGAAAAAAAUUAUCCAAGGCCGGGCGCAGUGGCUCACACCUGUAAUCCCAGCACUUUGGGAGGCUGAGGCGGGCGGAUCACGAGGUCAGGAGAUCGAGACCAUCCUGGAUAACACAGUGAAACCCCAUCUCUACUAAAAAUACAAAAAAAUAGCCGGGCGUGGUGGCAGGUGCCUGUAGUCCCAGCUACUCCGGAGGCUGAGGCACGAGAAUCACUUGAACCUGAGAGAUGGAGGCUGCAGCGAGCCAAGAUCGCACCAUUGCACUCCAGCCUAGGCGACAGAGCAAGACUCCAUCUCAAAAAAAAUAAAAUAAAAAAAUAAGUUUAUAUCUGCAAAGACCUUGUUUGCAAAUAAGCUCCCAUCCUGUGGCUCCGGUGGACGUGGGCUAUGGGGCCACUGUUCGCCCCGUCCCAGCCCCACGCCGAGGACUGCCGGGUCCUGCAGGGUCUACAUCUCCGUCUCACCUCCCCCGAUGCCGCCCCACCCCGCACCUCAGCCUUCUCACUGUUUCCGGAAGGUGCCUGCCUUUCCAUGCGCUGUUUCCUGUGCCCAGAAACCCCCCAGCUGGUCCUGGGACUCCCUGUCCACCCCAUUCUGGUCUUUGCUCAAGUGGCCUCCUUCUCUGGUCAGUCACUGAUGCCCCAGUCCCCUGCACCUGGAUGUCACCUUCAUGUCUUUUUUUUUUUUUUUUUUUUUUGAGACGGAGUCUCACUCUGCCACCCAGGCUGGAGUGCAGUGGUUCAAUCUCAGACCACUGCAACCUCCGCCUCUGGGGUUCAAGCGAUUCUCCUGCCUCAGCCUCCCAAGUAGCUGGGAUUACAGGCACCUGCCACCACGCCUGGCUUUUUUUUUUUUUUUUCUGAGAGUCUUGCUCUGUCGCCCAGGCUGGAGUGCAGUGGUGUGAUCUCUGCCCAUUGCAACCUCCACCUCCUGGGUUCAAGCAAUUCUGCCUCAGCCCCCAUCAGGAGCUGGGAUUGCAGGCGCCUGCCACCAUGCCCAGCUAAUUUUUGUAUUUUUAGUAGACAUGGGGUUUCACCAUGCUGGCCAGGCUGGUCUCAAACCCCUGACCUCAGGUGAUCUGCCUGCCUCGGCCUCCCAAAGUGCUGGGAUUACAGGCGUGAGCCACCACGUUCAGCCACAUCCAGCUAAUUUUUAUAUUUUUAGUAGAGAUGGGGUUUUGCCAUGUUGGCCAGGCUGGUCUUGAACUCUUGACCUCCGGUGAUCCACCCACCUCGACCUCCCAAAGUGCUGGGAUUAUAGGCAUGAGCCACCGCGCCUGGCCCUUCCUUCAUGUCUUUUAAAAAAAUGUUUUAGAAACGGGGUCUUGCUCUGUUACCCAGCUGGAAUGCAGUGGUGUGAUCAUGGUUUACUGCAGCCUCAAAUUCCUGGGCUCAAGCGAUCCUCCUGCCUCAGCCUCCCAAGUAGCUGGGACCACAGGUGCACGCCCACCCCUGGCUGGUCUUUUCCCUGCCUUCCUGCCUGACAGAGCCACCAGCAGAGCCUGAUCUGCCCAGUCCCCUGCUGGGUCCAGGGUGGCUCGCCAUGUUCAGUGAGAGCCCGUGGACAGGUAAGUGAUAACUGUGAAUUCUCUGGGGGGAGGAAGCCAGUGCUAAAAGCCUAGGCUGUUAGGAGAGCUGGGCCUCAGCCUGGAGGGACGCCGUCGGGCAGGCAAGCCCAAGCCUCUGACUCCCACCAUCCCGGGGUCCUCUUUGCUGUGACCCCAGAGUGCAGUGAGUACCAAAGGUGACCCUGUCCUAGCAGGACCCAACCUCGUGACCUGAUCAGUGUGGCAGGUUUGGGCUCCA
RNAcentral lists this long non-coding RNA (5962 nucleotides) under Homo sapiens (human). Its description in RNAcentral is "non-protein coding lnc-MAFK-6:2". Lineage: Eukaryota; Metazoa; Chordata; Mammalia; Primates; Hominidae. The record is from RNAcentral.